Molecule: non-coding RNA, 21 nt
Filed under: Arabidopsis thaliana (thale cress)
Lineage: Eukaryota; Viridiplantae; Streptophyta; Magnoliopsida; Brassicales; Brassicaceae
Source: RNAcentral
GCAACCAAAUCCGGAGUCCUG